This is a long non-coding RNA of Monomorium pharaonis (pharaoh ant), 421 nucleotides long. RefSeq lists it as uncharacterized. The record is from RefSeq and is a predicted model, not a curated record. NCBI's taxonomy places the organism in Eukaryota, Metazoa, Arthropoda, Insecta, Hymenoptera, Formicidae. The transcript is spliced from 2 exons.
UGCUUGAGACGAUCUUUAAAUAAGAUUCGACUAUGAAUACCAGCCUAUGAUUGGUUCUUGCUUUUAAUUCGUCGUUGGAUUUAGAAGCAGAAACCAAUCAUAGUAAAGAAUCACUGAGCACUUUCUGAUCUGUUCCGUCUGCUGAGUGCGCCCAAUAUUGUCGGUAUGACAGAUAUCCCAACCUAACCUAACCUAAUCUAACCUGGCAUUAGCAGAUGUAACAAUAGAAAAAUUAAAUCCAAUUUGCAAGGAUAAAUUGAGAUCGACUAGAGAACCUGCCUAUUUGGACGAGAUGUAAGAACUCUUUCGUAAGAAGAUGCAAAAAAAGCUAUGGAACUCACAACAAACUGAUGGACAGAAAUUGAGAAAAAAAAUUGUAAUAAUAUGUAAGAAGUGAAAAAUAUAACAAAUAUUGCGAAAG